UGAGGGAGGACACAAAGCCAUCUGUUUAAACCAACACCCCUCCUUUCUCUAAAGUAUGACCUGUUCUAUUCAUCCAGAGGCAAGAUGGAGUAGGUUAUCUAUGACCUAGGGUCCAGGUAGUUAGGAGGGUAAAACUUCGAUAAGAAAUGAUCACUGAAAGCAGCAGAAUUGAUUGGUGUUAGAGAAGAGGGGAUCCUGAGAAAUCAGCAGUAUCUUGAGAUGGAAUAGUUCAUCAAUGAUUUUAUACCUUGUUUAAUAUAAAUAUACUCACUCAAGGUCUGGAUUAUCCUCUGAGCAAGAUAUAGAUCCUUCCUAAAUCUGAUUUCUGUGAAUGGUUGAGUGCACUGACUAAAGCCGCUAGUAUGAUGGUAAAUAUUACCAGUCUCAGAGGGAAAUCUUUCACCUGGCUAUUUUGUAAAGUAUGAAUGAAUUCAGUUUACUUUCCUGCUCCAAAUACCCUAAUAUUUUCCUACAAC
Molecule: long non-coding RNA, 476 nt
Organism: Equus caballus (horse)
Lineage: Eukaryota; Metazoa; Chordata; Mammalia; Perissodactyla; Equidae
Source: RefSeq, a predicted model, not a curated record